CAGGAGGGUCCCUUGAGCCCAGGAAUUAGAGAUCAGCCUGGGCAACAUACCAUCUCAAAAACAUUAAAAAUAAAAAUAUAAAUAAAAUACACAUAUACCAUGUAGCAGGGGUAAUGCACUAACUUACUAGGGUGGUCACAUUCACAGAGGAUAGGACUCUGAGGGCAUGGGUCUCAGAAUAGAUUGAGUUUUUUGGUAGACUGUGGGUCAGGGAGAAGAGAAGUAGACUAACUGAAUUCCUUCUAUGUGCUAGGUUCUCUUCUAACUGUUAUUUAAAAGGUUACCUUUCCUCAUUCCAGCCUUAGCACCAAGAGGUAGGUAGGCGUCAACUCCAUUCUAUGGAUAGAAAAGCAGUUUCUGAGAGGUUAAGCAAUUUGACCAAGGUCACAAGGUUAGUUGGUGGCAGACCCUAGGAGUAGGAAAGCUAGAGUGUUGUGUGUGGAGGAGUAGGGGGUUGGAUAAAAUCUAAGGCCUACCAAAAGGAAAACAGAGGCAAAAAAAAAAGGAGGAGGGGGAGGAAUAUGGUGUCAUUAACCAAACAUGAAUUAAAAGACCUGGUCCUGUCUUUAAAUUGGUUACAAUUCACCUGCAGAAAGAUGAGGAACUCAUGAUACAGGGCAGAAUAUAAUAAGCAAUACUAAUAGUCAAGUCCAAACUGUGCAUUAUGACUGAGGAAGAUAAACAAGAAACAAGCAAGGGAGGAGUCGGGCAACUUUGAAAAGGCUACUGGGAGGAGGUUGUCAAAGCCAUUUAAAAUGGAGACUUCCUUUAAAUACAGUGCUUGCUUCCUUUUGCUUGGAUGAAGUAGUUUUAGAUUUCAAGCAAGUUAGGUACAAAACAAUGAUUACUGAACUGUCUGGAAGGUCAACAGACACAUUAUGAUCAUUGAGUUAUAAAUCACUGAAGGCUAUAUGGGUCCAGGCAACAUCCCAUCUGCGGGUACUAUUUCAGGUCGAGAUACAUAAUAUCAAUUGUUGUCCCCAGCUCCACUUCCCGUCACUAAAAUGUGACAGUGAUUAAAUGCAAAAUGCAAAUAUUACAGUAUGUAAGUGCAAAUUUAAAACAAUAAUGGCCUCUUGUCAGACAAUAUGGAAAGGCAAAGUUGCAUGGAAUUUGUUAUUAUACUUGCAAAUGCAGCAAUAUUUACAAUGGGUUGACACAGAGCUACAUAACCCAAUACAAGGCGAGGGAAGAAUUAUGGAGAGCAGGAAAGGAAAAUUGUGAACACGGAAGAACACCGCCUUUAAGGAAUCACAAAGGAAGGCAUGAAGAGGGAGGAAAACAGUUUCAAGGUCAGUGUUCCUCAGACAUUUCGGAAUAGCCCCCAUGCUCCUAAUUUGUUUUAUGAAUCAAAGCAAAGGCCAGAGGAUCAGUUUUUUGAAGUUUGCUUAUGGCCUAACGUCCUCAGUGUCAACUCUGAUUUCUUAAUUGUCUUAUACUUCUUAAAUCUCUCAUUUUUCUAUGAUCCAUGAGAUCCGCGAGGCCAGAAACCAUGUCUGUCUUGUUCACCAUUCUAUUUCUAGCAUCUAACAGUGCCUGGCAUGUAGUGCCUGCUCAGUAAAUAUUUGGUAUUUGAACGAAUAGUUGUUCUCCUGGCUGCCUUGAAAGCUCUGGUGGCUUUCCUCCCCUACUAAGAAAUUGCUUCCAGUCUCUGUAUCUCUCCUUAUCCAAUUAUUUUCACUAAAACCUGCUUAUUUUAUAUCUUAUUCCCUCAGAGACUCUCUAAAGAGAGCAGAUUUUAACAAUAAGAUUAAUAGUUUCAGGCACUGCAUUAAUCUGGGUCCAACCAGAAAAAUAGAAAACCACUGUAAGUGUUUAAAACAGAGGAAAUUUAAUGCCGGGAACCAGUUACACAGAUGGUGGGGAUACACAUAAGGACAGUCUUGCCUCCCAGAUCAAGAGUAUGUUGAAAGCAGUUCUCUUGAUGCAUAAUCCUGUUAUGAGCUCACGCAAUCUAAGGGUUGGAAAGAAUCUUAAACUUUGUUAAGCUCCAACUCGUCAGAUGGCUGUUGUGCCACAGAUGGCUAUUGCCUACUCCAACAUCUCUUCUUCUCUUUCUCCUCAGGCACAGAAUGGCUAUUUUUAGAUGAACACAUUUCUACCCAGAAUCAAAGAUAAUUCUGUUUUUCUGACCUUCCUUGCAGCUAGCCAAGGCCAUGAGACUAACUUUUAGGCAAUAAUAUGUAAGCAAAGGUGUCAUGUGGGACUUCCAGGGAGGUUUCUGAAAGGGAGUGGACACAUUCAGGAGGGGCUUCUUUUGGUUUUCUUCCUUUCCUCCUUUUUGAGGCCUAUAGUAAAGACAUGUUGUUGGAACUCCAUGGGCCCAUGAAGUAUCCUUGUGGGUAGAAGACAUGGGAUAGGAUGAUACAACAGAAAGACAGGACGCCAGGUCCGUGAUGACACUAGAGAGUUACCCUGUAGCUUCGGACUGCCCACUUCCAAAUCACUUUUAACAUGAAAGAAAAAUAAACUUCUAUAUUAUUUAGCCAUUGUUGAGUUUUCUGAUCUUUUGCUUUCUUUCUAUUAUAUACAAGUGAAUCUAAUCCUAACUAAUCCAGUUAUAUCAUUUUUAUUGCAUCUGAGACAAAUGGCCAUUUAACUUUGGCUUGGAUACUUCCUGUGGUGGGAAACUUACUAAUUCUUUGGGUGGCCUAUGUAUCUUUGAACAGCUAUUACUAAUGAGAACUUUUCUUAACUGACUGCAAAUUUAUAUUUAUUAAGAUUGUACUUAAGGGUCUUUGAAUGGUUUUGGGUCACAAAGAACCUUCAAAUUUUUUUUAUGUCACGUAUUUGAAGAUGUGUCAUGUUCCUUGGAGUCAGCUCAUCUCCAGUUUAAAUAUCUCCAAUUCUUUCAACUACUCCCCACAAGACCGUUUCUUCAUUUCAACAAGCUUAACCUAGCUUCACGUAUUAGUUCACACAGGAAGCCCUAUGGAAAAGAGCUUGAGGCUAUGAGAUUCAGCAAUGUUGCCUGCAGCCCUAUAUAUUUAAUUGAUUCCAUUGAAUUAAGGAAAAGGUACUUUCUACUUGUUCUAGUCUAAAUUAGCAGUCUGAAGUUUACAUAAUGGACUUCACUAUUUUGGGUGGGCUAAAAUUGAGGUUAAAACAAACACGAUUAUUUAAUCCUAUACUAUAUUAUAAUCAGCGUGUUCAGCAAGAGACUUAAAGUUUUAAUUAAUUAUUAACCACAUUGUACACAAACCAGCUUCUCCUUUUACAUAGUAAGAGGCAACAUUCCCAGAGUCAUUAGCUAUUGCUUAAUCUUUUUAAACAAAGCUCCCUUCUUAAAUGUUUUCUGUGGAUGUAGCCAAUUCAGACUGUUGGGCUCUCAUCUCCAGGGCCGUCUGCUUAGCACCUGUUGAUCACUUCUAAUGGCAACAUAUUCUUGGAGUCUACUGAGAAACCGCUUUCCAUAUGUGUUAGAAGAAAUUUAUAGUCUCUCAAAAUGUGCGUCUAAGAGUUAUGCUUCUCCCCCACCACCCAACCAGAAGAGUGGCAAAUGCCAUUGACUCCUACCUGUCAAAUUCAAUAAACUAAUAUUUUUUUGUCGUCUCAGCUGACACUUCUAUGGCAUUUCACACUGUUGACUACCUCAUUUUCAAAAUUAUCUACUCCUUUGGUUACCAACAUGGCAUCCCUACUGGUUCUUCUUCUGUAUGGCCAUUUCUCAGUUUCCUGUGCUUGGUCCUCUUCCUCUAAUCACCACUUAAUUGUUGCUGUUCUUCAGAGCCCUGACCAUGGCCAUCUGUGCUUCUCAUUUGGCACCUUUACCCCAGACAAUCCCAUCUACUUCUAUAUAAUCAGCAUAGGCUGAUGACCUUUUAGCCUGUAUCUCCAGCUCUGACCUCUCUCUUGAGCUCCAAAUCAGCAUUUUCAACUGACACAGGGGCAGCGCUCUUGAUGACGCACAGGCACCACAAACCAUGAAUCUUCAAAACUCAUUAUCUCCCCACCCACAACUCAGAUACUCAAGCCAAAAUCAGAGAAUCAGGCACUUUCUUACCUUUCUGUAGUUAUUCCUGUCAAUAAACAUGUCAUUUAGAGAUGUGAAAACCGAGGCUGAGUGCUCAAGUAGUUUGUCUAUAAAUCCCUCAGCUACUACAAGACAAUUUUUUAAAGUUUAUUUUUAAAUUUUCCUUUUUUCUUUUUAUUUGUUUUUCCUUUUUUUUCUAAGCCCAUACCUUACAAGGACACUACAAGAGAAAUUCUAACACAUUUCAAUCUAACUCUGGAGCUGGAACUCUUAACUGUUAUGCUAAAUUCCCCUUACUAGGUAGUUCUAUUAUAGAAUAUUUUGUCUUCAUCUUGAAAAUCAGAGAGCAAGACCCUGAGGGAAGAGAACACUAAAGAGAAAAGGGUUGUUGAAACAUUCGGUUUGGAGGGGAGGUUAGGUUCCUGAACAACCGGGAGAGGUAAAAGCUCAAAAAGUGCAGGGAACAAAAGGCAGUUGAAGGAAAAAGUGCGAGGAGCCAGGGCAGAGGAGGAAGGGCCUCAGGCCAAAGUAGUCUUUCGUAGGGUCUUAUUGAGAAACAAGUGACCUCACUAGGAUUCAAUCAAGCUUGUAGGUAAGUGGUUUCCAGGUGGGAAAGGAAAAAACCUUUUGGUAAUCCCAAACUUUGAUUUCCACAUAACUUAUACUGAAAUCAAAAGGGCCUAUUGACUGAUACAAGUGAAUGGUAAACAUGAUGAAUAGCUGCAAAACAUAAUAAUUGGCAUUACUUUGGAACAGAAGCAAAGGUACAAUUAUCAUAGCCCAUUCAACCAUGAAAAUUAUAAGCAAAUUGACAGUAAGAUAAUUAUUCUCAAAAUAUUUUUUUCAACAGUUUUAUUAAGCAUCUUUCUAUUGUAGUCAUUUCUAUUUCUUCUGCUCCAAAUUCUGUCAGCCACUUUUUUUUUCUGGCUUUACACUUAACAACCCAUUAGGAAUGGAACUCAUUUUCAGUACACAAAAGGCUUUGGGACAGCAAAUGUCUUUAAUGUUAACACUCUCUCAGUAUCCGCUGCUUGACCAAAUAGAUAUAUUCCAACAAUGUUGGCUAUAAGAUAAAUGCUAUUUUGCUUUUGCCUUACAUUAGAAUGCUGAGGAUGUGUUCCCAUGAGUUUCUCCCUCCUUGUACCCCACUGAGUGGAAUGUUAAAAAUACGGAGAAAGCAAUUUCUACAGAUGCAGUCCCACCUCUGGCCAUGGCCAAAAUUAGCUGGAUAAUUCUUUGAAUCUGGCUAAUGUGGAAUCUUGCAAGGACAAAGAGGAUUUGCUCACGAACUGGAGCUAACUUCCUCUUAUAGUCUAUCCUCUGUGGAUUUGUGAGUCCACACAUUUUUACCUGUACAUGAACUUGGCUAUGAAUGUGCCUUGCCAAGGAUUACACUUGUUCAUCAUCACCAUGAGAGACAUUCCAGGGAGAUGAACAUGGUGGGAUGCAGGAAAGAAACACCUUCCUGGUAGAUGAUGGCAAAAUACAAUAGUAAGCAAGGGAAGAAUUAUCAUACCAAAUCAAUGAGGAUAUUUGCUGCCAAAGGCUUAGGCAUGGAGGCCAACUGGAUUCUCAUCCAUGACCCUGAUAGGACAUCCUGAACCCCAUUUAUGUUGUUUUAAGAGUGAUUCCAUAACCUCAAGAGAUGAGAGAAAGCCUGCUCAGAGAGGUUAAGUAACUUCUCCAAGAUUACACAACUAAGAAGUUGCAGAGGUAAGAGUCUAUGUCUGUCUGACUAAAGGACAACUUUUUUUUGUGUGCUGUACUGUUUCUGUUUUGCUUCUUGAAUCAGUGGCAUCUCCCACUCCACUGUGUAGUACAUUUUGAGUCAAUAUAAGAGAAGACUUUGAUGUUUGGAAUAAUUAGAGCUGGUAACAGGGUCUCUAUCACAGGCAGUGUUAAGCAGUGUAUAGAUAUUGUAGAGGAGAUUCUUGGAGUGGGUGGAAUAUUGUACCAGAGCAAUGAUUUCCAAAGAGUGCCAAGUGAUGGGGUGGGCCUUGGGGUGCCUACCCCACAUCUUCUUCAAUCAAAGCCACUCAGAGUUCAUCUACUGAAACGAUAAUCCAACAUUUAUUGAGCAUUUACCAGGUACUGUUGCAUAAACUUCCCAUGUAUUCAUUUAUUCAAUCAUUUGCAACAGUACCAAGAGGUAGGUACUGUUAUUACCCCCAUUUUACAGAUGGCAAAACAAAAACAAAAACAAAAACAGGCAUGGAGAAACAAAGAAACUUGUCCAAGGUCACACAGGUAGGGUAAGUGGAGGUGGGAUUUGAACCCAGGGCUGCCCAGCAUGAGAGCCUGUACUCAAUAAGCAGUAUGCCAACCAUCUUCUCAAUUUUGUUAGGAAUACUGAGUUUCUUUGAAAGAAUUCAUAUGAAUAAAGAGUGAUAUGGAUUGAAAUUUUUGAAAAUCGCUGUCUUUUAUGGAGUUUUCAAGUUUCAUUGGUUCAAUGAUCAUUCUCUGGGUUGAGACGGUCAAGAACCUCUGGUGACACUUUCUACCAAGAUAAGACCUUGGCUUCAGCCUCUGACUGUGGACUUGAAUCUUUCUUUUAGCUUUGUUAAGCCAGAAUUUGCUAGGUUUGGCCAUGGUUGUACCUAUAGACUGGCAAGUUGCCACAGCCUGACUUGGUCUCCCAGUUCUGAACUUGCUCUCUAGCUUACAGUGCUGUGGUUGGGUCCAUAACAUUUCUACACACAGAAACCAUCCAUCAGUCCCACCCAACUUGAGCAUAAACUGGGAUUAAGGUUCACUGGACACAAUGAACUGGUGGAACAUGUAAGCCUCAGGAACCUCCUCAGGAAAGACUUCCCUGAAAAAGGAGCCAAUCAGGAGUGAUGAGUCUGACCCUGCGAGAAAGCCCUCAUCAUCAGAGUAGAGGGGAACAAUCACUGUACAACAUGGUUGUCUGUCUCUCAGAUUUGUCUCCUAGCCAAGACCACCAUGGACUCUUGACUCAGUGCUGUGAAUAGGAGGCAUGCACAUAAAACCUAAGAGCACUGGUUCAUGCAAAACUCCGUAAGACACCUAGGCACCGGUAUUGCUGCUUAAGUGUGGCUCUAACAGAAUCAAACCUGAAUAACAAAGUCAGUCAUUUAGUUACCAAUAUGGGUUGUACACCCAUGGUGUUCACAGUCCAGUGCUUGGUUUUCUGCUGAGUAAGAAACAUGAGUUUUUAUCAGCAAGGGAAUACAGUAUAGGGGAGGAACAUAGUCUUUAUCUAAUGGUGUCGAGGAGGAAGAGAAGAAAAGUACAGCAUUAGACAGAAGCAUGCAUGGCCAGAAAGCAUCUAAAUGUGUAUAGACUGCAUAUAGUCCUGUUAUCAGAGAUUCAUUUUCCAUAUCUUCCCAAUGGGACUAUUAAUACCUACCUUGCAGGGUUGUUGGGUAGAUUAAAUAAAAAAAUGUAUAUAAAUGGAUAUAAAAUGUCUUGUUCAGUUCCUGUUAACACAAGAGCACUGAUAAAUGGAAGAUAUUAUUCUUAUUGGUUGGGGUAAUAGUAUUGUUACUAUCUUAUUAUUAGCACCCAUGAAAUAUGUUGUUCUAAGUAGCAAAAAAUAUGAAUCUAGGGACAUUCUAAAUAGCGGUUAUGUUUUAUUUGUCAAUAUCAAUGUUAGGAGCUUAAUUCUUGUGACCUUCCUAUUGAAUAUGCUCUGGAUGUUACUUCUGUCUUACUGUCUGGGUAGGGAUUUCCCUGAAAGCAGGGAUUUCAUUCCCACCAAAUUAGAAACUUGCUAUGGAAGAGAAUCACAUCUUCCCAGCUCUACUGUAGAGUCUACCAUCAGAUACGAGGCAGCCUGAAAAUUGGGUGCGAGCCUCCAACAGUGGAUUUUAGUUUUCUCCAAGGACAUAGAUACUAUCUUUUAUCUAGAGCCCACAGGUGGUCAUUUGGUACAUGAUGUUCUUGAGUGGAAUAAGAUAAUAGCAUUCUGCAUUUUAUUACUGGUUAAUGUCUUGGUAUUAUAGUUGGAUUGAGCUAGAGUGAGAAGGCAGAAAAGGGAUGGGAGCAGGUAGGGUCCAGAUGCCUCAUCAUAGUUGAGUUUCUAUGGAAUAUCAAAAACCAUUUUACCCUCCAAAAUUUUGCAGCUGCCAAAUGUCCCCAGACGCUGCACUGAGAUGUUUUCCUUUAUUUUUAAGCCUAGGCACAUUUCAGGCCCUAUUGAAUGCAUGUGCUUCCAAUUGAUUUACAUUUAACACAUCAAAAUGUUGUUUUGUAAGAGAUUUGAUAUCCAAGAAGCCUGCUGAGCUGCUUUUAUGAACAUUUUAAAGCCUUUUUCUUUGAAGGGAUUGAAACCUGGGUGGUACUCUUUGUUGUUUCCAGCCUCAGAUGGCCAGAGACUGCUGAAAUAGUAGAGGGUAUCCUGGGAUGGCCUGCAUCUUGUAGAGUGACUGGGGGUCUGGGAGAGGCAAGAGGAUGAAGAGGGUUGUGGAUCAAAUGUGGAUGGGACACAUUCUUUGUGCAUCAUGACCAGACAGACAUCUGAAGUCCCAAAUGUUGCCUGUUAAAACCAAAUUUGAGUCCUAGCUGUUUCAAUGAAUCUUUAUUUCUUCGUGUUUAGACUUUAUCUUCUUCAAUUUCUUAACCUUUAUUGUUCAAACCACAGUGCAGGACACAGAAUUUGCUUUACUGAAAUGUUACUGUGGCCGGGAGAUGUGGAGUGGGAGGUAUCUGUUGGAAGAGCAAAAAAUGUAAAAGAUAUAAAGUGCCAUUGGAGAUGCAAGAGUGUUACUUACAAAGCACCUAAUCUUGUGGCUCUAAACACAAAUGCCCAUACGUGUAGCUUGUGAGUGGAAGGCAUUAGGGAGUGGGACUUUGGAGAAGCAGAGCAUGUAUUCUCCAUCUAAAAUCAUUAAAAAUAUUUGAACACUGUCCAGACCAAACAAAGCAUAUUAGAAUGCCCAGUUCACUAUACAGUCUCCAGUGUGCAGUACCUUUAUCUAAAUCAGCCCUCAAAUCUAUUAAUGAGGAAACUAAAACUUGAGAGCUGCAAAAUGCACCUAGUACUUAAAGCCCGUUUCUCUCCUGAAUCCUUUACCUCAUUGAUACACCAAAGCUGCAAAAUUACUUGUCAAAAUGCACCCAGCUAGUAAGUGGCGGAAAGAGACUCAAACUUAAGAUUUUGGAGUGUAAACACUUCAAGUCCAGUGCAUUUUGUCAUUGUCAUUAUACUAUGCUACCUCCUUAGAUUAAACCUUAUAAGUCAGGAAAAAAAUUACAUCUAUAUAUUUCAUAUAUAUAUAUAUAUGAAACCAAUGAAGGAAACUUAUGAACCACACAAUGCCUAGUGCUGGUAGUUUAGUGGGGGGAAGAUUGACAAAUUGACAGUGGAAAAAGAAUAACAAAGUGGCUGGGAAUCAGAAAUAAGGAAAUGUAAAGUAUAAAUUAGAAAUUGGGGAUGACUCAGAGGAGGUGAACCUUGAAUCACUUCUGAGCUGGAAGUGACAGAAAACUCAAGAAAGCUUAGAGGCAGGUGUGAGGUGGGAGAGUGAUGGCAGCAGGCAGUCCCUUUGAAGAGUUAGGUGAGGAAGUCUUAGACAAACAUGUAAUCUAAAGUCAUAUGUGGUUAAUAUUCCAGUUAACAGUUUAAAAGCAUAUCUGCGACUACCUAAGCUAAGAAGUGGAGGAGAGAACAUUUGUAUUCACCUGGAGGCUUUCAUUUUAAGCAUUAUGAUGUGUGUGUGUGUGUGCGCGUGUGUGUGUGUGUGCACGCACGCUUCUGUGUGUCUAGAAAUGUA
Pan troglodytes (chimpanzee) is the source of this 9708-nucleotide long non-coding RNA. RefSeq lists it as uncharacterized. Lineage: Eukaryota; Metazoa; Chordata; Mammalia; Primates; Hominidae. The record is from RefSeq and is a predicted model, not a curated record. The transcript is spliced from 5 exons.